UACGUAGGGUGCGAGCGUUAAUCGGAAUUACUGGGCGUAAAGCGUGCGCAGGCGGUUCGUUGUGUCGGUGGUGAAAGCCCCGGGCUUAACCUGGGAACUGCAUUGGUGACUGCAUUGCUGGAGUAUGGCAGAGGGGGGUGGAAUUCCACGUGUAGCAGUGAAAUGCGUAGAGAUGUGGAGGAACACCGAUGGCGAAGGCAGCCCCCUGGGCCAAUACUGACGCUCAUGCACGAAAGCGUGGGGAGCAAACAGG
Molecule: ribosomal RNA, 253 nt
Filed under: uncultured bacterium
Lineage: Bacteria
Description: partial 16S ribosomal RNA
Rfam family: Bacterial small subunit ribosomal RNA
Source: RNAcentral